CGUUUUACUUCUCCUUUGAUAAAAAUUUGUAUUUCAUAUUUUAAAACUUGCACUCAUUCUGCCAGCUGGUGUUACCAGCCGGGCGUGACCCGUCCGUGCAGCCCUCACAAACUGUACUUUUCUUGGUCCAGGCGUCUUUGCAGUAGGUUAGCAUAUGCUGAAGAGUCAGAGCGGGGCUGGACCCGCGUCCGUGGACCAAGAGAGGACGGCACCGGGCACCAGGGAGCUUCCCGCUCCUUGCGGGUUCACCUACCUGCUCUGACGGCUGCACGGAAUCAGGCAGUCUUGACCGGGCAGGAGCUUCAGCUCACUUCCCCACCGGAAGGCAGAGUUGCUUUCUUUGUAUCUCAAAGCAGCUUUCUUUGUAACAUAGUAUUGAACAUUAACGCUUGGAAUCAUUUUGAGGCAAACCUAUUUAGUGCUCACUGGAACAAACAAGCCUGCCGGGGCUGGAGCAGGUUGUAUUUUUCUGUGCGGAGGAGAUGCGGUGCCCAGCUGCAGGGUCACUGUUGUCUGGCAGUCCCGCGUGGCUCUCUGCAGCCACCGCUGUGUGAGCAGCCCUGCACUGCUGAUCACCUGGGCUUUCUUAGCCAGCGUGUCUUUGCGCGUGUACACAUCUCUUCGAGGAACAUCAGUUUAACUACAUCUAUGUGUCUGAGUCCGUGGUUACUUACUUGGAGUAUGUUGGCAAAAUGGGAAUUGCAUUUGAUCGGUCUCUCCAAACUGUUUUCCAGAAAGGUUGCAUCAAUUCACCCUCCCAGGAGCCAAGCAUGUGGCUUCUUCCCGUACCCUGUCUUACCAGGAAUUAUCUUUCCAUAUGUUCGUCUAUUAUCUAUCUACUUAUCAUCUAUCUAUCUACUUAUCAUCUAUCUAUCAUCUAUCAUCUAUCUAUCUAUCUAUCUAUCUAUCAUCCAUCUAUCAUCUUAUAUAUCUGUCACCCAUAAACCUAUCAUGUAUCCAACAUCUAUCUUUCUUAUCUAUAUUAUAUAUUAUGCAUCUAUCAUCUCUAUCAUAUACUUUAACAUCCAUGCACCCAUCAUCUAUCUGUCUACCAAUCGUCCAUCCAUCCACCCACCCACCCAUCCAGCUAACUUGAAUAUUUGUUAA
RNAcentral lists this long non-coding RNA (1107 nucleotides) under Oryctolagus cuniculus (rabbit). Its description in RNAcentral is "lncRNA (ENSOCUG00000033673.1)". The record is from RNAcentral. Lineage: Eukaryota; Metazoa; Chordata; Mammalia; Lagomorpha; Leporidae.